GGCGAACGCUGGCGGCGUGCUUAACACAUGCAAGUCGAACGGUGAAGCUCCAGCUUGCUGGAGUGGAUCAGUGGCGAACGGGUGAGUAACACGUGAGCAACCUGCCCCUGACUCUGGAAUAAGCGCUGGAAACGGCGUCUAAUACUGGAUACGAGAAGGGUCCGCAUGGGCACUUUCUGGAAAGUUUUUCGGUUGGGGAUGGGCUCGCGGCCUAUCAGCUUGUUGGUGAGGUAAUGGCUCACGAAGGCGACGACGGGUAGCCGGCCUGAGAGGGCGACCGGCCACACUGGGACUGAGACACGGCCCAGACUGCUACGGGAGGCAGCAGUGGGGAAUAUUGCACAAUGGGCGAAAGCCUGAUGCAGCGACGCCGCGUGAGGGAUGACGGCCUUCGGGUUGUAAACCUCUUUCAGCAGGGAAGAAGCGAAAGUGACGGUACCUGCAGAAGAAGCACCGGCUAACUACGUG
RNAcentral lists this ribosomal RNA (468 nucleotides) under uncultured bacterium. RNAcentral's name for it is "partial 16S ribosomal RNA". It matches the Rfam family "Bacterial small subunit ribosomal RNA", at positions 28 to 507 of the family's 1533-position model. The record is from RNAcentral.